Molecule: long non-coding RNA, 6586 nt
Filed under: Sus scrofa (pig)
Lineage: Eukaryota; Metazoa; Chordata; Mammalia; Artiodactyla; Suidae
Description: lncRNA (ENSSSCG00015019823.1)
Source: RNAcentral
UGAAAUUUUAUUUUAUUUUUUUAUAGAAUAAAAUACAUAUAUUUAAACACAACUACAUUCACACAGAUUAUUAUAUCAUGGAUCUUAAGAAACAGAUUAAGUGACUCCCUCUAGAGAAGUGGAAUGGAAAAUAUGCUGAGACAGAUAGGAAAUUUAUUCUAUACUUUAUCCUAUUUUGUAUGGUUUUCAUCUUUACUAUUUAGUAUUAUCUAUUACAUUCAAUUUUUCUUUAAAAAUUAGCAUUAUAUUAAAAUUGUGUAUAUUAUGCAACUAAAAUUUAUAAAGAAGAAAGCCUUAUAUACCAUUAAAUAUUUUAUAUAGCAUAAUAAAAAGAAUAACUUAACUGGUAAGAAUAACAAAAAUAAUACACCCUCUGAAAAUAAGUAAAAUAUAAAAUGCAUAAAUUGGUUAAAAAACAGUGUAACUAUAUAAAUAUGUCCUCACAAUUUGUUACAUCUUAUUGAUUCUUCAAUAUAGGCAUUACACCAUUCUAGGUGAUGUGAUAAACAAGACAUUAUAGACCUUACAUUGUACCAUGGAGAGAAAUGGUUAUUAAUAAUACAAUUGUAGAACUGUAUUAUUUAAUUGUACAGUUGCAUUAUUUAAUUAUAAUUAUCAUAAAUUCUUUGAUGGAGAGGAAAUCAGAAUCAGAUCUAAGAAGACUUCAGCAUUCCAAGAAUGAUGUCAAAUGACCCCCUUCAUGGUGGAUUAUGCACUUAUUUCCGAUGAGAUAUCUUUCUUCUCCAGAAAGAGAUUCCUUGUUUGUGUAUCCAUUGUAGAUUUUUGGUUUGCAGUUAUUCUGAAGUUUUGAUAUAAGAGUCUGUAUGUGUAUGAGAUUGUUGUAAGUUGUUGUUCUCUUAAUUGCAAGUUCAUUUCCAGUGUCCUGCAUUUGUACCCACCUCUUCUCAGGAUUCCUGACUUUGGUGGUAUAAUUGUGCAUGGAUGAUUUUGUAUCUUUACUGAAUCUAUACGUUUACUGGUGAGCCUUGUCAUUUGUGGAAUUUUUGUUUCCUGUUGCUGUCUUGUCUUUUCUGCCUAGAGAAAUUCCUUUAGUAUUUGUUGUAAGGCUGGUUUAGUGUUGCUGAAUUCUCUCAGCUUUUGCUUCUCUGUGAAGGUUUUGAUUUCUCCUUCAAAUCUGAAUGAGAGCCUUGCUGGGUAGAGUAGUCUUGAUUGGAGGUUUUUUCCUCUCAUCAUGUUAAGUAUAUCAUGCCACUCCCUUCUGGCCUGCAGAGUUUCUGCUGAAAAAUCUGCUGAUUACCUUAUUGGGGUUCCCUUGUAUGUUACUUGUUUCUUUUCCCUAGCUGCUUUCAAGAUUUUCUCUUUGUCUUUAAUUUUGGUCAGUUUGAUUAAUAUGUAUAUCAGUGUAUUCCUCCUUGGGUUUAUAUUAUAUGGUACUCCUUGUGCUUCCUGGAUUUGAAUGAGUGGCUCCUUUCCCAUGUGAGGGAAGUUUUUGGCUAUUUGCUCUUGGAAUAUUUUUCCUGUCCCCUUCUCUCUCUCUUCUCAUUCUGGCACCCCUAUAAUACGGAUGUUGGUGCGUUUAACAUUGUCCCAGAGUUCUCUGAGACUCUCUUCAUUUGUUUUCAAUCUUCUUUCUCUUUUAUGUUCUGCAUCCGUAAUUUCCACUAAUCUGUCCUCCACCUUGCUUAUUUGUUCUUCUGUCUCCUGUAUUCUGCUGUUAGCUGCUUCUAUGAAUUUUUUAUUUCAGUUAUUGUAUUUUGCAUCUCUUCUUGUUUAAGUUUUAUAUCUUGUAUCUCUUUGGUCAGUGUUUCCUGUAAGUUAUCCAUCUUUGCCUCCAGUUUAUUUCCAAUGUCUUGCAUCAUCUUCAGCAUCAACAGUCUAAAGUCUUUUUCCUGGAGGCUGAGAAUCUCCUCAUCACUUAGCUGAUUUUCUGGGGUUUUUCCUUUCUCCCUCAUCUGAGUUAUAGUUCUCUGUCUUUUCAUUUUUAUAGGUUUUUGGUGUGGUGAACUUUUUACAGAUAAUAGGGUUGUAGCCUCUCUUACUUCUGGUGUCUGCCUCCCUUGUGGCUGAAGUCAGAAUGGGGGCUUGCUGUAGGCUUGCUGAUGGGAGGGACUGAUGCCUCCCCACUGGUAGGUGGAGCUGAUUCUAAUUCCUCUGGUGGGUGGGGUUUUAUCUCUGGUUGGGAUUAGAGGCAGCUGUGUGCUGAGGGGUCUUUAGGUAGCCCAUUUACUGAGGAGGGGGGCUGUGUUCCCACCUGGGUUUUUCUUUGCCCUGGGGCUUCUCAGGGCUAACUGACAGGUGGGGCCAGAUUUUCUCAAAAUGGCCACCUCCAGAGAAAGGCAGCUGCUGAAUAUUCCUGAGAGCUUUGCCUUCAAUGUCUGUCCCUCACAACAAGCCACAUUCACCCCUCUUUUCCCAGGAGGUCCUCCAAGAACUGCAGUCGUGUUUGACCCACAUUCCUAUGGAGAAGACCUUGCUCUGCCCUGGGACCCAGUGCACAUGAAAGUCUGUGUGCACCUUUUAAGAAUGGGGUCUCCAUUUCCCCCAGUCCUAUGGAGCUCCUGCACACAAGUCCCACUGGCCUUCAAUGCCAGAUGCUCCAGGGGCUCUUUCUCCCAGUGCUGGAUCCCUGCACAUGAGGGUUUGAUCUGGGGCUCAGAACUCUCACUCCUGUAGGUGAGUCUCUGUGAACCAGUUAGUUUUCAGUGUGUGGAGAUUCCUACCCGGGAGGUAUGGGGUUGUUUAUAUCAUGAAAUUGCCCCUCCUACCUCUUGAUGUGGGCUCCUCUUUUUCUUCUGGAGAAGGAUAUCUUUUUUAAGGCUUCCAGUCCAUUUGGGUGGAGAUUGCUCAGCCUUUAGUUGUGAGUUUUGUUGUUUUUAGGAAAGAAAUUGAGUUCUAGUCCUUUUAAUCUGCCAUCUUAAUCCUCUCAUCCCUUCUCUGUUCUUGAAUUGUGCCCAGUGGAGAAGAACAACUGGCUCCAUAAGUUUGCUUCUCUCAUCCACUGAAAUCAAGCCAUUUACCCCAGGCUCUGCAUCUUCCCUCUCUUGUCUCCCACCUGCUUUGGGCAAUUCACUAAAUCCUCUGCUCCAUCUUUGGACAAAUGAGAAGUCUAUAUUCUGAAGUCCUCUCUGUUUCCUAGGAGUCACAUUGUCAAGAUGGAGUUGCAGGCAAGCUUCUCUAUCCUAAGUGAAGUUCCAUAUAUCUGUUAACCAUUUAUAGCUGAUCCCGACCUUAUCAUUUUAUACUCAGUUGCCUAGGCAUAUGUUGUGACUCUUGUAGCAUGAGCACUCUAGUAAUAAUUCUUGGUGGCUUGAAAAUUUCUUGAUACUUUAAUGGAAUGAGUGUUUCUGAACUAUGUUUAUGGAUAAGUACAUCGUUUUGUAUUCAUAGCUACUAUUUGCUGCAUAAUCUGGCUUUUCAUGCAACAGUGGCUAUAGGGAAAGAGGGAACAAUAGAAGGAAAAUUUUAAAUAUUCACAAAAUUGUAGUAAAGAGAAAAAUCAAGCCUGAGGCGGAGAACAGAGGAGGAAGGCCACUGGGGAAGGAAGAGGAGGAACCAUCUUCAACUAUAGCAAAAUUGCACCACAUUUCGGUCACAUAAUGUCUUACCUUGCAUGAAGUACUUCACAAGUGAAAUGCAAAAGGCUCUGUUUAUACCUAGUGUAGAAUAAAAAAGAGAAGGUUCUAUUACAAUUCCAGAAUUAAUCAGGCCUGGUCUGAGCAGUACGAAAUAGGGUUUCUAGACAAAACACUGCAGCUAAUUCAUGUGUCUUUGAGUGAAGUAUUUUUGGUCUCUGGACCUCAGCUUCCUCAUCAUUAAAUGUGACACUUGGACUGGAUUAGAGAUGACAUAUUAGUGCCCGAGGGCUGCAUAUGUAUGCAGUGACUCUCAAGUUUUGGCCACAGGGUCUUUUUGUUGUUGUUGUUUAAUUAUAUUUAAAAACUAAACUCCAGACUUAAUACAAAUUCCUUUUUUUUUUUUUCUACUAGUGUCCUUUCUCUAUCCCAAUAUCUAGUUUAGAUUACCACAAUGCGUUCAGUGAGAACAGGGUGGUUUUUUUAAGUGGAAUUAUCAGUAUUUAAAAAUGAAAUAUUUCACAGUUCCUGUUGUGGUUCAGCUGGUUAAGAACCUAGCAUAGUGCCCAUGAGGAUAUGGGUUUGAUCCCUGGCCUCACUCAGUGAGUUAAAGAUCCUAUAUUGCUGUGAUAUAGGUCACCAGAUGUGACUCAGAUCCUGAAUUGCUAUAGCUGUGUUGUAGGACUGCAGCUGCAACCCCAAUUCAACCACUAGCCUGAAAACUUCCACAUGCUUUAGGUGUGGCCCUAAAAAGGAAAAAAAAAAAAAAGAAAUAUUUCACAUAAAAGAUCCAGAUUUCACACGUCCCUUGAAAGCUCAGUUGAUCUAAUGUCAAGAGCCUGUGCAGAAGGUUUAAUAAGCUUAAUCAUAUAAAUGAUAAGCUAAAGUAGUAUUGCCACUGCCCCUGUAGGCAGGGGAUGUGCCUUCUAGUUUGCCACAGUCUACUCUACUCUCUGUUGCCUCCAGAGCAAUGGGGCAAUGUGACAGUAGCCAUUACCAUCAGUUGCCACCUCCAGUUUUAGUAUAAUCAAAGGCUAUGGACCAUUCAUUGUACGCAUAACUCUAUGAAAAGUGAGAAUUCAGAAGACAGCCUGAUUCUAGAAAAAAAAAAAUGACAAAAAUGAAAUGACAAAAAUAAAGACACAUUUAAAUAACCAACCCACUUCCCUCAUGUACUCAAGCUUCCUGGCCUCUGUAGGCAUUUUGGUUUGAAAUCCCUGAGCAAAUGAAACUUUUCUAGUUCCUUUCAUUGUGGCCAUUUGAGAGAGUAGUGCUUUCAGUCAGGCCAGAGUUCUUGGGGAAAUAUAAGUUUCCUGCACACUGAAUCUAUGUUUUCUUUUUAAACCCUCUCUUACUGAACAUAGGAGUUUUUGAGUUCCAAGCCCUAAAUCACCACAGUGUGAUUUUUGUACUCUUUUACUUCCUUUAACUUGGGUCUCAAGAAGCCAGAUUGCAGUGUGGUUGAGACUAUGGGUUUUGAAUUCAAACUACCCAGUUUCAAAUUCCGACUUCAGCAUUUCCAAGGGGUAUGACUUUGGUCACUUCAUUUAACUUCUCUUUGCCUCACUUCCUUUCUUUAAAAUUGAGCUAAGAAAAAGGACCUAGCCUCUAAGGUUGUUGUAAUAGAUGGAAGAGCUAAACUAUGUAAAGGGAUCAAAACAAUGCCAGCAUUUACCAAGUGCUUAGGACAUGGUAAUGAUUAUUACCUUCAUUAUGUCAUCCUCAUCCCAGGAUGAUGAAACCCCACAGUAACCCCAUAAAAAGUCCUGAUCCCAGAAUGCUUUGUCAUUAUGAAGUUAUGUACAUGGUGAAGAGUAUUAGGGGUUACUAUUUUGCAGAGUUGAUAGAGCAUGCUUUAUGUAGCUCCAGGGGAAAAUUCAGACCAAGUAGGUAAAAGUUAGAGGGAAACAGAUGUUGGUUUAACCCAACAAAAGCCUUUCUUACAUUCAUAGAUAGACAGCACUUGAAUGGGCUCUUUGUCAGGCUGAUGAACAACCCAUCCUUCAUGCUGUUUGAGCAGACUGGAUGAUUGUCUGCCAGGAAUGUUGUGGAUCUACUCUCCAAGUUGGUAGCCAGGAGCUACAUCUGCGUAUUUAAAUUAGUUGUUUAAAAUUGAAUAAAAUUAAAAAUUUUAACUAAAUAAAAUUAAACAUUCAGCUCCUCAAUUAUAAUAACUACAUUUGAGUGCUAAUAAAAAUAGCCGUGGGUGGCUUGUUGCUACUUUAUUGGGUAGAACUGACAUAGAGCAUUUCCGUGAUCACAGAAAGCUCCAUGGAACAGCACAUUGCAGAGGGAUGUCCUGCACUGGAUUUCUGAAAUUGUCAAUUUGGUAAAGGUCAGUUUAGGGAGCAUGGAAGAGGAAUAAAGAAAGAAUUGUUGCCAGAACUCAGCUUCUACUCACCAGCACCGAAUAGAAACUCGGAAACAGAGUUUGGGGCCAAGGAGGAAAAAAAUAGCUUUAUUGCUUUGCCAGGCAAAGGAGGGUCACAACUGACUAAUGUCUUGAAGACUGUGCCCCCAUCCUCAGAGUGAUUGGGAGGUGAUCUUAUAGUUUGGGGAGUGAAAAAAUAGGGCCACAGAUAAGAUUCAGGAUAAAGAGAAUCUUUCAUUGUUUUCAAAGCUGGUGUUCAGUGGUCUUCUUUCUGGAAUAAAGAAUACUUCAUUAACAUCUUCUAUUUGUCGAGGGGGAGGGUUACUUAUUUAGAAGAACUCAAAGAUAUUGUUAUCUCUAUUCCUUGAGGAGGCAUCAGGACCAUGCCCCAAAGCUGCACUAUUGUUUCUUGACUGCUCCUCCCAAGUCUCUGCUUCCCCUCCCUUCUCUAAUUAGAAACUGUUUGAACCUGCUCUUUGGAACUCAGGAAAGGUCAUGAAGGCUGAAGUUUAUUCCCCAGAAACAAUAAAUGGGGGACACAGAAAGGCUUGUGCACCCAGGAGCCCGCGGGCCCCUGCUUGGUUUAAGAAUUGAGAUCAUGAGUGCUAUGAAGCUUACUUGCUCAUGGACUCCUGGAUUUCAUACUGGUGCAUGGCUCCAGGUAAAGCACUGUUUGAGUCUC